RNA transcript from Rosa chinensis, 5391 nucleotides. RefSeq lists it as uncharacterized. The record is from RefSeq and is a predicted model, not a curated record. Lineage: Eukaryota; Viridiplantae; Streptophyta; Magnoliopsida; Rosales; Rosaceae. The transcript has 2 exons.
UUUCCUUCUUUUUAUGUGUUCUGUCUCUCUCCCCUCCUCAGUUCUGGACCAAAGCUUAUCCUCUCCUUUUUUGGCGUUCUGUCUCUCUCCCCUCCUUAGUUCUCAUCGACCUCAGUACCUCACUACUCAGCCACUAGGUAUGAUUCUUUGAUUUGUUAUUUAGUUAUUUACAAAUAAAUUAAUGUUUGCUUUAGUAGCACUUUGCUAAGUAUGGUGAUUUGGUAUGAGAUGUUGUUUGCUUUUAAUAGGGUUAGCAAAGUGCUGCAGUCUAAUAAUAUGCAAAUUAAUGUUGCUAUAGCUGAAGUAAAAGGUCUAAUUUCUUGGCUUGAUAAGUUUAGAGAAACUGGCUUUACAGAUGCAAUAAUUACUGCUAAAGAAAUUGCUGCUGCAUUAGAUGUUGAUCCUGUUUUUCAGGAAAAGCGUCCAAUUCAAAGAAAAAGAUUUUUUGAUGAAAGCGGCAGUGAGCCAUCUCCAUCAUCUUCAGGUCAGGAAUCUUUUAGAGUGCAUUAUUUCUUAAAUAUUGUAGAUCAAGAUAAGGGAUCAUUAAAUAUAAGGUUUGAACAAUAUCAACAUUAUGAUGAUAUCUUUGGAGUUUUAUUCACUUCAGAAACUUUGAAUUCCUUGAAUGAUAAUGAUAUGAAAACUGCUUGUAUUCAUCUUGAGACUAUUUUGAGACAUGGUGAUGGGGAAAAAGUAUUGAACACAAGCCUCCAACAAUCACUCAACAGACACAAGAAAUAAGGAGUAGCAAACUCAUAAAAUAGGGCAAAUCCAUGCCACAAAUAAACUGAUAUUAUUCAUAAACUAUAAGCUAUCUAACAACGAUUACAUUACCCAUAUUUAUAGGGUUUACAAUACUUGGAGAAUAAGUAGACUUAAGCUAAAGUGGAAAGCUAAUUAAAUGUAAAUCUUAAAUUAAAUGUAAAAAGAUACCCUAAAAAUAUCUAAACAAUGAAAUAUCAAAUAUUACAAAUCUAUAAUAAAACAACAAAAUAAUGCAUUUGAUGUUGCCCCAUAUGCACCCACAUCACAUGGAGAGAGUUCAGAUGUUGAUGGGGAAGACCUGUUUAGAGACCUAAAACUCUUAAGGGAAAUAUUACCCAAACAGAGGAUGACUGCUAUUGAUAUAUUGAAUUUCUUACAGGAAGGGAACACUUGCCCGGUUGUUAGACUUGCAUAUCAAAUAUUGUUAACUGUGCCUGUUACUGUUGCUUCAGCUGAGAGGAGUUUUUCCAAGUUAAAGUUGUUGAAAUCUUAUUUGCGAUCAAAUAUGUCACAAGAAAGGUUAAAUGGACUUGCUUUGAUUUCAAUUGAGAACGAGUAUCUUGGAAAAAUCAAUUGUGAUAAGCUAAUUGAUCAGUUUGUAGUUAAGAAGGCAAGGAGAUGGAUUUUCAAAUGAAUAUCAAUCAACACUGUUAGAAUGUGUUAUUUUGAGGGUUUCAGAUGAAGUAUCUUUUUGUAAUUAUUUUUUGCUGCAAACUUUACGUUUGUAUUGAAUAUUUAGCCACUUUUGUAGGCUCUUCUAAUGAUAUUGAUCAUACAUUGUUGGUUAUUUGAUUUUAUAUGUGAGUUUGUUCAAGUAUAAAUCUCAUAUAAGACUAAAGUUUGGAGGGCUGCAUUUUAAACUUUCGCAUAGGGCCUCCGAAGAGUUUGAGAUGGCUCUGCAGCGGCCUUGACUGACUAACGAGUCUUCUGCAAUAUAAAAAAUCUUUAUUUUUAUUUUUUUGAAGAUAAUUGGGAAAAGUAUGCACCAAUCAUAUGCUGAAAAGGUUGGAAAAAAAACUUUAUUUUUGGAUCACGUUUUGCACGACCACACUCAUCUUUUUCUUUGGAAGAACAAGUGUCUUCAUGUUGUGCCUUGAGAGAAAUAUUUUCUUCUACUUACUAUUGGCCGCCAAGGAAUACUUUUCUCCAGGACUUUCACCCAAUCUAUGUUGCACUAUUGUGUCUUUAGGGAAUCCUGUCAACUUCUUUGAACCAUUGUGCCUUCAGGGAGCCUUGUCAACUUGACACUAUUGUGCCAUCUUUAACUUCAUCUUCAGACUUUUGCCGCUUCUAGAGAGCAUUUUUCUCUUGCCACCUUUGUGCCAGGCUUCUUUCAGAAAUUUAUACCAUUCAUUCCUUCUUUCAGGGACGUUAACCCUUCAUCUUAUUUGAGGGACUUUAACCCCUUUACCUUCUUUCAGGAACUCGACUUGAUACACAUUUAUGCAAGCGCACGUAUUAUUAUCAAGUAAGGAAAGUAUUAAAACCUUGAUUAUCGUACCUCGGGGAUUAAGCGUUUGACCUAAAUGAUGUAAUUGGCACUAGGUAACUCAAAAGCAUACAAGGAGAAAUAAAAAUAAAAAGAUAAAAUAAAAGCUAUAAACAAUCAAGGCACGAAGCCUUGGCAAUGCUCGGCUUAACUCACACCAAGCCUAAUCAAAGCUACUAACUUAUUGCCCAAAUGACUUAUGCACAAUGAAAGGUAGUCAUUUUUUCUUUGGAAAAACACAAGUAUCUUCAUGUUGUGUUUUUUCUUUUUCUUUUUCUCACAAAAAAAAAAAAAUAAUAAUAAUAAUGGUUGUCAAGUUGCAUAUCACUUCUUAAUCUCCCGCAUUAUCUUUGGUUUAUAGUUCCCUCAUUUUAUGUAAACAACCAUGUCAAUAUGGGCAUAGCUACCAUAGGGCAAGAAUGGUCAAUUGACCCUUCUCAUUUAAAAAAAAUAAAUAUGAUUGGUUGAAAACUUGAAAUAUUUGGACUUCUAUCAAUAGAAAUAGGAUAUCGACUCUUCUGCUUCUGUCUUGAUGUGUCUCACAUUUCUUUUAUAAAACUGAACCUCCAAUGAUUAUUGUGAUCCCAGAGUAGGAGGUAUAAAUAUAGUAAAUCAUUUAUGGUAACAAUCAAAAGAUUAAAAAAAAAAACCACGAUCUUAUAUUUUCCUUUUUUUUUUCUUUUCAGAAUUGAUCUACUCAUGCAUGCAUAAACAUAUAACGAUUGAUUUGCAGUAAUAUAAUCAAAAAGUCGAUCUCCCUAACCGUUGAUUAGAAAAUCCUCAACUAGUAUUCAUUAAAGUGGUUCUCAUUAGAAGUGCUCCCUAGUCCUUAAUGAUUAUUGAUUGAUUUCAGCUUCUUCUACUGCUCCAUCUUUUGCUUCUAAAGAAGUACUUUUGCUUGAGAAUGAGAUUGAUCUGAAUGAUGCUAGUAUUGAAACUGUUACUGUGAUUGGUUCUAAGAGAAUUUAUUUUUUUUUUGAAAAUUCUGCGUAUUUAUCCCACAAAAGAUUAAUUAGGACAUGUUUCUAAAGAAAGAUUGCAUCUUCUAGUUAAACAAGGAAUCUAAACUUGAUCUCUCAAACUUGAUUGACUACAUUGAAUGUGUAAAAAGCAAGUAUGCUAAAUAGAAAAAGAAAACAACAACUAGAAGCACUACUGUCUUGCAAUUGAUUCACAUAGAUAUCUAUGGACCUUUUGCGACUCAAACCUUAUGUGGUGACAAGUACUUUAUCACGUUUAUCUAUGACUUCUCCAGAUUUUGCUAUGUUUAUCUCAUUUCAGAAAAAUCACAAGUUUUGGAAAAAUUUAAGAUUUUUAAAGCUGAAGUAGAAAAGGAGUUAAAUGCCAAAAUUAAGACAGUCAUAUCAGAUAGAAGGGGGGGGGGGAGUACAAUGAGUGGUAUACUAAACUAGGAAAGCAAAAGGGACCAUUUGCCUUGUUUAUGCAAGAACAAGGCAUUCAGGCUCAUUAUACUACACCUGGUACUCCUGACUCCUGAGCAAAAAGGUGUUGCAGAGAGAAGAAAUAGAACAUUUAUGUUUAUGGUGAGGUGUAUGAUGUGCACCUCAGGUCUUCCAAGGAUGUUGUGGGGAGAGGCACUUAAAACAGUGAACUAUCUGACAAUAGAAUACCUAGCAAAGCUAUUGUCAAGAUUGCUUUUGAGCUGUGGAAGAAUAGAAAACCAAGUGUACUCCACACACACGUUUGGGGCUGUAAGGUAGGGGCUAGUUUGUACAAUCCUCAAGAGUCCAAGCUUGAUUCAAAAACCAUUUCAACUUUUUUUGUAGGCUAUCCAGAGAACUCAAAAGGCUUUAGAUUCUAAUGUCCAUCACAGACAACUAGAGUUGUUGAAACAAAUAAAGUUGUGUUCAUUGAUGACGUAAAUUUUGCUGACAAGUUUGAAGAUUUUGAGUUUGAUGAGUUAGCUAAGAGUGAGCCUACUGUGGUUGAUAAAUCUCUUUCAGAACCAGUAGUUGUUUUAGCUGAUUUUGAUACUCAAACUGCACCUGCAACUCAAAACCAUGUCAAAGUAGAUAUUGCAAAUCAAGUGGAUGAGUGUGUGUACAUGAAGACAGAAAGGAAAGAUUUUAUUUUUCUGAUUUUGUAUGUUAAUGACAUUUUGCUUGCAAGCACUAGUUUGAAAUUGCUGAAAAACACCACAGGGUUCUUAUUAAAGAAGUUUGAUAUGAAAGACUUAGGUGAGGCAAGUUAUGUGCAUGGUAUAGAGAUUAAAAGAGAUAGAGUAAGGCAUUUGCUUGGACGGUCGCAACAGGGCUAUAUCAAUAAGGUGUUGAAAAGGUUUGAUAUGCACAACUGUGCAAGUGGUGUGGUGCCUAUGUCAAACGGUGAUAAAUUGACUAAGGAAUAAUGGCCUCAAAAUGAAAUUGGAAGAGAGACUAUGAAGACUAAGCCUUGUGCACAACUUGUAGCUGGUUUGAUGUAUGCACAAGUGUGCACUAGACCUAACCUGGCCUAUGCAACAUGCAUUUUCUCAAGAUCUCAGUCCAAUCUAGGCCCUGAGCAUUGGAUAGCAGGCAAGAAGGUUUUAAGGAGGAGCCAUUGCUUGGAGAGUAUCAAGCAAACCAUAAUUGCCACUUCUACAAUGCAGGCAGAAUUCAUAGCAAUUUAUGAAGCUGUUUGUGAGGGGCUAUGGUUAAAGAAUUUUCUGGUUCAAACUAAGGUAGUUGACAACAUCAUUUCAAAACCAAUGAAAGUUUAUUGUGACAACUCAGUUACAAUGUUCUUUACUAGGAAUAAUAAGAGGUCUACUGACACCAAACACAUAGACCUUAAGUAUUACAGUGUGAGAGAAAGAGUCAAGCAUAGGGAAAUUGAAGUUUUGAAGAUUUGAACUCUUUUCUAGUUGGCUGAUCCUUUCACCAAGGCGAUGACAGUGGUUGCAUUCAAACCGCAUGUUAUUGAAAUUGGAGUUUUAUCAAGCAUAUUAGAUGCUUGAAACCAGUGGGAGUGUUUCAUUUGAAUAAGACUUGUGGUUUUUUGUGUUGUUAUUUUCUGAAAAUUUUCUCAUUAUACUGAAUUAUAACUUUUAAUUGAGAAAUUGGAGUGCAAUGAAAUUAAGUUUUCAUUUUGAUUUGCAGCCUUACUGAGUGACACAUGUACUAAAGUUCAAGUUUUGG